This 20-nucleotide microRNA is filed under the name Drosophila grimshawi. Its description in RNAcentral is "miR-276a-RB". The record is from RNAcentral. RNAcentral also lists the same sequence under 2 other names. Lineage: Eukaryota; Metazoa; Arthropoda; Insecta; Diptera; Drosophilidae.
UAGGAACUUCAUACCGUGCU